RNAcentral lists this unclassified non-coding RNA (1058 nucleotides) under Limulus polyphemus (Atlantic horseshoe crab). RNAcentral describes it as "serine/arginine-rich splicing factor 3-like, transcript variant X1". The record is from RNAcentral. Lineage: Eukaryota; Metazoa; Arthropoda; Merostomata; Xiphosura; Limulidae.
AUAGAAAGGGGGUACUCCCUCUAUAUAUAUGUAGUGGAACCUGGAAGCAUCUUUCUGUUCGAGCGGGUUGCUUCACGCGGAAAAUUAACGAAGUGGAUAGUUUAUAACUAGAACGGGGAUUUGGAUAAAAAUGUCUCGUCGAGAUUGGAGUUUCGAUUGCAAAGUAUAUGUUGGGAACCUAAACAGUGGAGCAGCCAAACAUGAAAUAGAGGCAGCUUUCAAUAAGUUUGGUCCUCUUAGAAAUGUCUGGGUUGCCCGAAACCCACCAGGAUUUGCAUUUGUUGAGUUUGAAGACAGCAGAGAUGCUGAAGAUGCAGUUCGAGCCAUGGAUGGAAUGAGAGUUUGUGGUAGCAGAAUAAGAGUGGAAAUGUCUCAUGGUCGAUCAAGAAGAGGACGUGGAGGAGGAGGUCGACGUCCACCUCCACCACCACCACCACCAAGAUUUUGCUUCAAAAUGCUUCAGUAAUGGACCUGGUCAAAACCUUGCAAGGUACUCGUCUCGACUGCAGCCUGCACAAGGUAUCUCCAACGCAGAACACUCUGUUUGAAUUAGCCCACCAAUUUCUACCAUUACACCAGUUAAUGCUGCUCAUCACUUCUUAAAAACAGAACAGCCUACAAACCACAAGGUUUCGGCAAUCAAAUGUCCACUUCUUCCUAAAAACAACAUUGCAACUGUAUCUCAAUCUAUCUUCAUUUGCAUCAUUGGUCUUCCUUGGUCUGCUACCAACCAGCAUUCCAACGUGACACUAUGUAAUCACCUAACCCACAUCUCACCCACACCGUUCAUCUUGGGUGCAUCUUGGAUGCAUCGCUUACAACAUUUCUACCAAUCUUAUCCUACACCUACCUCAGAACUUACUGGCUGUGAUCAGGGCAUAUCAAUCGCCAUUAUGCAUUUUGCCAAAGGCUUCAGUGUACGGGUAUCGAUCACCAAGGAGGCGCUAUUCGCGUAGUAGAAGUCGGAGUAGGUCUCGCAGUUCACCACGUCGCAGCCUAAGUCGAUCACCUGUCAGGAGAUAAAAAACUUGGGACAUUGUUCAAAUGAUUUUUGAGGU